AGUUGAUUGAUCUGAGAGUGAUGAUCAGUUUUACUCUUUCCCGUCCGUCUACUUGAGAAUUUUUAAAAAAUCAUUAUACCAAGUUUCCAAUUUCCUUACAAUGGGGAUGACAUUUUUCUUUGCAGUGAGAAAUUUCAAGUCAUUAAGACCUCAAAAGUCUGUUGUAAGGAAUAAUUAUCAAGCCGUUAUGGAGCCAUCUUGGAGGCUACUCACCCCUCCGGUAAGCUUAGAUGUAAUCCAACGCAACUCAGAUCAACAAAGCCUAUCCCAACUACUUGGGAGGGUUCCCAAUCUAAUUGGAGAUAGUUGAACAUGCUUGUGGAUUGGCAACUCUGCAAAUUGGGGAAUACUUUUCCAAUGUAUCAAACGGAAUUGAUUCCUAUAGUAUUAGAGAGCCACUUGGUGUUUGUUGUGGGAUUUGCUACUUUGACUUUCCAGCUAUGAUCCCUUCAUGGGAUCUGCCUCAGAGCAAUAUUCUCUAUUGCAUUCAUUGGGGAGAAAAUUACAAGCUUCCAGUAAAAUUUUCAAUUGCUGGUAGACGGUUCAAGUAACCACUGACCAUC
Pistacia vera is the source of this 563-nucleotide long non-coding RNA. RefSeq lists it as uncharacterized. NCBI's taxonomy places the organism in Eukaryota, Viridiplantae, Streptophyta, Magnoliopsida, Sapindales, Anacardiaceae. The transcript has 4 exons. The record is from RefSeq and is a predicted model, not a curated record.